This 1001-nucleotide long non-coding RNA is filed under the name Vombatus ursinus (common wombat). RNAcentral's name for it is "lncRNA (ENSVURG00010019828.1)". The record is from RNAcentral. Lineage: Eukaryota; Metazoa; Chordata; Mammalia; Diprotodontia; Vombatidae.
GCAACAAUAAUGCUCCUCACAGAGUUCAGCUCCAUUUGUAUUUCAUCCAAAUGAAAGAAGAAAAUCGGGUAGGGGUGAAAUCUACGAAGUGAAGCAUAAAUAAGGUGGUGUCAGUGAAAGCAGCGCAUAUUCCAGUUCAACCGAGUACCACAAAUCACAUCAUGGAAGGAGGCAGAAGAGUCCAAUGGAGGGGCACUCGGUUUGGAGGUCCUCUUCCAAAGCCAAGAGGCUUGAUGGAGAUUGUCAAAGAACUCUGCAGGCUUGAUCCAUUACAAAUUCAUGCUUCCCAUCCUCAACUGGCUGCUUGGUAUUUUUUUUUUUUUUUUUUGUGAUUCCUUAACACAUAUUCCACAGCAACAAUUUCAAGCAUUUCCUAAUCUUAUUAAUGCCCUAAUGUCAUAAAAAAAAUGCAGAACCUCGAGUUAGAAGGGAUCUCAGAGGUCACCUGAACAAAUAUCUUCAUCCAACAUCCAUCCAAACAGGAAUCUUCUCCACAAUAUCCCUGACAUGCGGUCAUCCAGUCUUGCUUUGAAAAUGCCCAAUGGUGAGGAACUCACCAUGUGCUAAGGAAGCUCAUUUCACUUUGGAGUAGCUUUUGGGGAAGUUUUUCUUUACAUUAAAUGUAAGUCUACUUCCUUACAAAUGCCAUAGUCCUGACCACUAUGUCUGAGGCCAAAUGGAAGAAGUUUAAUGCUUCUUCUAAAUGACCCUUUUUCAAAUGCUUGAAAACAGCUAUCAAGUCCCUCGAGUCUUCCCAAAGGCUCAGUGUGUAUGUAUGUGUCGCCUCAAUGCCCGUAUUGGCAUUUCACCCCAAAGUGAAAUAAUCCCAGUUUUACCAACCAAACCUCACAUGGCAUAGUUUUGAGUGCUCCUCCCCCCAUAAUCUUGGUCAUCCUCCUCUAGACGUGCUCCAGCUUGUCAACGUCCACUCUGAAAUGUGAUGUCCAGAGACAAAUAGAAAAUUUCAGACGCAACCCAAAUACAGCAGAGUACAAUGGAAC